Molecule: ribosomal RNA, 1346 nt
Filed under: uncultured bacterium
Lineage: Bacteria
Description: bacterial SSU rRNA
Rfam family: Bacterial small subunit ribosomal RNA
Source: RNAcentral
GACGAACGCUGGCGGCGUGCUUAACACAUGCAAGUCGAACGGAAAGGCCCUGCUUUUGUGGGGUGCUCGAGUGGCGAACGGGUGAGUAACACGUGAGUAACCUGCCCUUGACUUUGGGAUAACUUCAGGAAACUGGGGCUAAUACCGGAUAGGAGCUCCUGCUGCAUGGUGGGGGUUGGAAAGUUUCGGCGGUUGGGGAUGGACUCGCGGCUUAUCAGCUUGUUGGUGGGGUAGUGGCUUACCAAGGCUUUGACGGGUAGCCGGCCUGAGAGGGUGGCCGGCCACAUUGGGACUGAGAUACGGCCCAGACUCCUACGGGAGGCAGCAGUGGGGAAUAUUGCACAAUGGGCGGAAGCCUGAUGCAGCAACGCCGCGUGCGGGAUGACGGCCUUCGGGUUGUAAACCGCUUUCGCCUGUGACGAAGCGUGAGUGACGGUAAUGGGUAAAGAAGCACCGGCUAACUACGUGCCAGCAGCCGCGGUGAUACGUAGGGUGCGAGCGUUGUCCGGAUUUAUUGGGCGUAAAGGGCUCGUAGGUGGUUGAUCGCGUCGGAAGUGUAAUCUUGGGGCUUAACCCUGAGCGUGCUUUCGAUACGGGUUGACUUGAGGAAGGUAGGGGAGAAUGGAAUUCCUGGUGGAGCGGUGGAAUGCGCAGAUAUCAGGAGGAACACCAGUGGCGAAGGCGGUUCUCUGGGCCUUUCCUGACGCUGAGGAGCGAAAGCGUGGGGAGCGAACAGGCUUAGAUACCCUGGUAGUCCACGCUGUAAACGGUGGGUACUAGGUGUGGGGUCCAUUCCACGGGUUCCGUGCCGUAGCUAACGCUUUAAGUACCCCGCCUGGGGAGUACGGCCGCAAGGCUAAAACUCAAAGGAAUUGACGGGGCCCCGCACAAGCGGCGGAGCAUGCGGAUUAAUUCGAUGCAACGCGUAGAACCUUACCUGGGUUUGACAUGGAUCGGGAGUGCUCAGAGAUGGGUGUGCCUCUUUUGGGGUCGGUUCACAGGUGGUGCAUGCCUGUCGUCAGCUCGUGUCGUGAGAUGUUGGGUUAAGUCCCGCAACGAGCGCAACCCUUGUUCACUGUUGCCAGCACGUUAUGGUGGGGACUCAGUGGAGACCGCCGGGGUCAACUCGGAGGAAGGUGGGGAUGACGUCAAGUCAUCAUGCCCCUUAUGUCCAGGGCUUCACGCAUGCUACAAUGGCUGGUACAGAGGGUGGCGAGCCUGUGAGGGUGAGCGAAUCUCGGAAAGCCGGUCUCAGUUCGGAUUGGGGUCUGCAACUCGACCUCAUGAAGUCGGAGUCGCUAGUAAUCGCAGAUCAGCAACGCUGCGGUGAAUACGUUCCCGGGGCU